GAUGAACGCUGACAGAAUGCUUAACACAUGCAAGUCGAUUCAAGUUACCUUCGGGUAAUGAGGAUGGCGGACGGGUGAGUAACGCGUAAGGAACUUGCCUCUUGGUCUGGGACAACUGUUGGAAACGACAGCUAAUACCGGAUAUUAUGAGAUUCUCGCAUGGGAAACUUAUGAAAGCUAUAUGCGCCAAGAGAGAGCCUUGCGUUCCAUUAGCUAGUUGGUGGGGUAACGGCCCACCAAGGCGACGAUGGAUAGCCGGCCUGAGAGGGUGAACGGCCACAAGGGGACUGAGACACGGCCCUUACUCCUACGGGAGGCAGCAGUGGGGAAUAUUGGACAAUGGGCCACAAGCCUGAUCCAGCAAUUCUGUGUGCACGAUGAAGGUCUUCGGAUUGUAAAGUGCUUUCAGUUGGGAAGAAGAAAGUGACGGUACCAACAGAAGAAGCGACGGCUAAAUACGUGCCAGCAGCCGCGGUAAUACGUAUGUCGCAAGCGUUAUCCGGAUUUAUUGGGCGUAAAGCGCGUCUAGGCGGAAAAAUAAGUCUGAUGUUAAAAUGCGGGGCUCAACUCCGUAUUGCGUUGGAAACUGUUUUUCUAGAGUACUGGAGAGGUGGGCGGAACUACAAGUGUAGAGGUGAAAUUCGUAGAUAUUUGUAGNAAUGNCGAUGGAGAAGUCAGCUCACUGGNCAGANACUGACGCUGAAGCGCGAAAGCGUGGGGAGCAAACAGGAUUAGAUACCCUGGUAGUCCACGC
RNAcentral lists this ribosomal RNA (754 nucleotides) under uncultured prokaryote. RNAcentral's name for it is "bacterial SSU rRNA". It matches the Rfam family "Bacterial small subunit ribosomal RNA", at positions 28 to 800 of the family's 1533-position model. The record is from RNAcentral.